UAGCCGUAAACGAUACUCGCUAGGUGUCGGCCACGGUGCGACCGUUGUCGGUGCCGUAGGGAAGCCGUGAAGCGAGCCACCUGGGAAGUACGGCCGCAAGGCUGAAACUUAAAGGAAUUGGCGGGGGAGGCACAACAAACGGGUGGGAGGCUUGCGGUUUAAUUUGGAUUCAACGCCGGAAAUCUUACCGGGACCGGACAGCAACAUGAAGGCCAAGCUGAAGACUUUGCCGGAUUAGCUGAGAGGAGGUGCAUGGCGUAGUCGUGU
RNAcentral lists this ribosomal RNA (267 nucleotides) under uncultured archaeon. Its description in RNAcentral is "partial 16S ribosomal RNA". It matches the Rfam family "Archaeal small subunit ribosomal RNA", at positions 748 to 1009 of the family's 1478-position model. The record is from RNAcentral.